UUAAAUUGUAAGGGGAGCCAUUAAAUUGGCUGAGAGGAUUGGGAUCGACCCUUGGAACCUGAUCCGGGUAAUGCCGGCGGAGGGAUGUUAUGUAUGAGGAUG
RNAcentral lists this non-coding RNA (102 nucleotides) under Acidiplasma cupricumulans. Its description in RNAcentral is "TPP sequence". It matches the Rfam family "TPP riboswitch aptamer (THI element)". Rfam says of the family: Vitamin B(1) in its active form thiamin pyrophosphate (TPP) is an essential coenzyme that is synthesised by coupling of pyrimidine and thiazole moieties in bacteria. Lineage: Archaea; Methanobacteriati; Thermoplasmatota; Thermoplasmata; Thermoplasmatales; Ferroplasmaceae. The record is from Rfam by way of RNAcentral.